GAGGCUGUGGCUGAGCGGUUGAGGCGCCGGAUCAUGCUCCCGGUAUAUAUGGGUUCGAAUCCCAUCAGUCUCC
This 73-nucleotide transfer RNA is filed under the name Bacteroidota bacterium. Its description in RNAcentral is "Bacteroidetes bacterium (activated sludge metagenome) tRNA-His". It matches the Rfam family "tRNA". Rfam says of the family: Transfer RNA (tRNA) molecules are approximately 80 nucleotides in length. Their secondary structure includes four short double-helical elements and three loops (D, anti-codon, and T loops). Lineage: Bacteria; Pseudomonadati; Bacteroidota. The record is from RNAcentral.